Molecule: long non-coding RNA, 4295 nt
Organism: Chelonia mydas (Green sea turtle)
Lineage: Eukaryota; Metazoa; Chordata; Testudines; Cheloniidae
Exons: 3
Source: RefSeq, a predicted model, not a curated record
AAGGAAUAUAAAAGUGUGUGUAAUGACCUGCUUUGGUGUGCAGGAUUUGAGAUUCUAUUCUCCCUGUACCUUGUUUGCAGCUGCAAAUAAACUCUUCUGCUUCUCCACCCCGUUGUGAUUAUUCAGUGAAGCACACUGGGUAAAGAACCCCUGCUGUUGUUUUGCCUUUCGGCACUGGGUGCCGGCAACACAGCGACCAUUCGUGCUGAGAGAAGUACCGGCUCAGCUGAUCCGCCCGAGAGUUUUGGACGUCCGGUACUAAGUAACUACGAACUAAAUGAAGUCCAAACAGGGAAGCUAAAGCAGAGCUGGAGCAGAGCAGUUCCGAAGCACCUUCACUGGAGGGAAGAAGGAACUGAGGGUGGGGGGAGCACAGAGUGCCCCUUAUACCGUGCCAUAGCAGCUCCACUCCAGGGGUUGCUAGGGGCGCACCCCUACAGGUGUAGAUCAAGGAUGUUGGUGCUUAGCCCUCUCUGCAGCAGCCUGAACUACCAAUGAGUUAGGAGCUGGGUGGGAGAAGAGGAAUUCUGAUCCUUUGGCCAGGAUAUAGUAGCGUCUCUCUGCUCCUUUAGGGCUGCCCAUACAUGUGGCAGGGGUGUGCCACACUGUCCUGGCUGGCUCCAGUAUGGCUUCAUUGAUUUGUAGUGCUAUUCUCACUGGUCCCGACAUGUGAAGAACGUCCAGAACCUUAUCCUGGGAGUCUUGAACUCUUCCAAUGGGAUUUGAAGUUCCCCCAUAACUCUCUGUAAAAGCUACUGGAAUCAUCUGAAGUUAUCUGGUGGGGAAGGGUAUGAUGCAGUCAAAGCCUCAUCUGGAGGCUUGGAGGAUGGGAAUCUAGCCAGCUCUGGCGGAACCACUAUGACCAGGGUAUAAAAUUCUUCCUCUGCUGUUGGAUCCGUGGGCCUGCUUGACAGCAACUCUCUCGCAGACUGGGUGGGGUCUGAAGGAGGAUAAUGCGCCAGGGCCCCCAAUAUGGCCAAUAAGCCAGAUCAACAAGAGCUUGCAGGGGUCCCCAGUGGUUCUGGGGAGGAUAAGAAGGCAGCUGUUCCCAAAAGCGUGAUGGUCUCCGUGAUGGUGCAUAAGAGUGGUAUGGUAGAGGCGAUUCUUCUCCCAGUUCCGAAUCAUUGGAAGAGGAAAAGACAGACUCCAGUUCUAAAGGUGGUAACACUGGAGCCAAUGGAAUGGUGUAUAGCACAUGCAAGGAGGGUGACAGACCCCAUACCACAGGCACAACCCAUGGUGGGAAUAUGAUUUCUCGGGAAGUGGAGGGACCUGAUGGAGAAGACUCUUGGAUGUAACUGUGGAUCCAGAUCUCCGUGUUGUGAGGGACACACUCUCUUUCCCAGUUGUUAGUACCGGCGCUGAGGUCUUUUCUGGUAUGGGAAAGGGUUAUCACCUGGAACCGCUGGAUCCCACUGUUUAUGGGUCUUCCUCCCAUGCCUGUGGGACUUGGAAUGUGCUCUGUGCCCUUGGACUCAGCUGGUGGAAGGAACGUCCAGAUUCUUGGACUGGGAGGAAGACUUAGUGCCAUGAUUUUAGAAAUUCCUAAUCUCCCAACUCGGCCCCAUCAUGGGGUCUGUGGGAGUGGUUCCGCUGGCACCAGAGCCAGAUGAAGCAGCAAGAGGCGCACUCCUUGUUGAAUAAGGCCGAUAUACACUAGGGGUUCUCCAGCAUGGUCUGAAUGCUGUCUCACAGUCAUCUCCACGAGAUACGUCCGGAGCCAAGUGCUCAGCAUUCUCGGUUGCAGCUGCGGAAGGCAUGGCAAAUACUGUACCCAGCUGCAACGUGAGCUUCUCCUAGGCAGCAUAGGCAGCAUUGGUCGUUGUCACUGACUGAGAUGGAUCAUGGCAAGAGCUGCAGAAUUUGAAGCCUGGAGUUCUGAGGGUAGCCCGGUACUUGCAUGGUACUAUGGGGUGCACGAAUGGGGAAAAUCCCUGAAGUCUACCCUAAACUAACUGUUACUAAAACCAGGAAAUAAAACUACAGUUAAAAUUGCUAAAACUAUCUACUGCUAUAUUUUUAGAAGUGCAUCAGAGAGAAGGACACUGAAGGUUCCGACUCAUACCAUGCACCGGUAAGAAGAAACUGGAGACACAGUCAGCCUGCCCCACUAUCCAAGGCGGGUCAGGGCGCAUACGCAGGCCAAUGGGUACUACUUUCAAAUUCUUCGACUCAGGACACAUGGUGCGCAUGUGUAACCCUCUAUGGAAUACAAUAGGGACCAUCGCUUGAAGAACAAUAAAUAUUUGAUAAUGGGAUCUUCAAUCUAGCAGACAAAGACCCCGUGGCUGUAAGUUGAAGCUAGACAAAUUCAGACUACAAAUAAGGGAUACAUUUUUAACAGUGAGGGUAAUUAAUCAUUGGAACUAUUUACAAAGGGUAGCGGUGGAGUCUUCCUCACUGACAAUUUUUAAAUCAAAAUUGGAUGUUUUCCUAAAAAAUAUGCUCUAGUUCAUACAAAUUAUUCUGAAGAAUGUCUAUGGCCUGUGUUAUUCAGGAGGUCAGAUGAGAUGAUUACAUUCGUCCCUUGUGGCUACAGAAUUUAUGAAUCCUCAAUGUUCUAAGGGCUUAAGAGUCUCAAGACAGUUACACACUGCAACAACCGUUGUAACUCACUGAUAAGUGAGUGCUACAGGUCCCCCUGUGUGCUGAUCCACAUAGGAAAUUAGUUGUUACAGCCCUCAGAUAGUGAGCCAUGGCUCUUUAGCUCAAGCCAUAGAUGUUCAUGCUUUUGCUCUGAAGGUCCAUGGUUCAAUUCCAGUAUGUCAGCCAAGAUGACAACUGUCAUACCAUCAUAGUAUCAUACAUGUCCAUUUUUCCUCUACUCUCCUCCAAUCUAAUGCUGCCAUAUUAAACAAAACCCUACAUAUUCAUGUAAAAAGUGACUCAAGUAUAAGUCAGUGACCCCGACAUUUAAUAGGAAAAAAAACUGCAAAAGCAUUUUGUCUUUUAUAUAAUGCAAGCGGGCUUAUGCAAGAGUACAUACAUUAGCAAGAAUCAAGUGUAGACACUGUGGCACUUCUACUAUUUAAACUUCUUUCUAUAUUUAUAAUCUUUGAUUCAUGGACAAACUGACCCCUUUUUGUUCCCCCAUUUCUCUUCCAAAUAGUUCUGUCCCCAGGUCAAGAUUUGGGGAUGUGCGCAUGUGUGAUUUGCAUAGUCAUUGCCUGCACUGUAACUGUUCUGUGGUUACAGAGGACUUCAUUCUCCGGAUCUCGCAAUCCAGCAUCUUUUGCAACGAUAAACUCCCAGUUUAUUCAAAUGCACAAAGAAACUAUAUCACAUAUCACUCUAAAAACUAUGCAUACACAAUUGCAAAAAUCUUGGUGUACACUUUGAUCAGUGACAAUCACUACAAAAAUGUUUUUACUGGAUUCAACAGUGACCGUAAGACUCUAUUCCCCCCCCUCCCCUUCAGCACAUCAGAAAGAGAGAAUAUUUCUUUAAAAGGCUGUUAGGCAAACAAUAUUCUCUGGUAGAUGGCACCAAAAAUAUCUUUAAUAAUGAAAUUAGGGGAAAUCUUUAGGAAUCUGUUUGGAUUUGCCUGGCAGAAACUGAUGAAGUGAAUGUUAAUGCAAUAUGUUCUGUACCCAUGAAACCAGACUCCCAGAGGUAAAAUCCUCAUUAUAUAAUCUUCAUAGAUAUCUUUUUUUAAAACCACAUAACAAGGUUUUUCACUAUGUACAGCUGAAUGAAACGAAAAGAUUAACACCCACUCACCUCUGAAAUGCAAGAAGAGCCUUUCUCUGCAGGACCUCUUGCAUCCCUCGCAAAGAUGCUAAAAAAGGAUAUAUUUAAUCAGCGAUAUUUAAGAGUCAAAGAUUUGCUUGCACAUGCUUAUUGAACAAAGAUUAAUACAUUCACAGACUAUUACGACAAAAAUGAUACAAAAAACGUACAACACAUUUUCUUUUAGAGGCUGGUGUGUUUGAGGUUUUUCUAUGAUAUGACUGGUAUUUCUAACUUUAUGAGUAUGUUUAAACUGCAGGUGGGAGCGUACUUCCCACAUGGGCAGACGCACACCAGCUUUGCUCGAGCUAGUGCACUAAAAUUAGCAGUGUAGCCAAAGUAGCAUAGGUGGCAGCAUUGGCCAACUGUCUGAAUGCAUACCAAGGGGGUCUGGGCAGGUUUGUGCUCAGGUGGCUAGCCGGAGCUGCUGCCUUCUCUGCUAUUUUGCUACUCUGCUAUUUUUACAGCGCUAGCUCAAGCAAAGCUAGCACAUCUGUCUACCCACGCUGGGAAGCACACUCCAGCCGCAGUGUAAACAUACCCUAUGCGUGUAUUUUUUUCUUACC